GUGCAGAGGCCGGGUGACUCGUGUUGAAGGAGAAGGCAACAAAAAAAUUUUUUAAAAAGGAACAGAUGACUUCAUUCUCCUCGGGAAGGCUCUGUCCUACGUGGACAAUUUCCUGGGGACUGUGGUGGAACAGCCCCGUUGCCGCUGGAAGCACACGAAACUAAACCAGAAAAAAACCAAAAAAUUCUCGGUCUUGCCUGAAACCCAGCCAGGGGAGGCUGGUGGCGCGUGAACCGCGAGGAGGGUCGAAUUCUUCCGCUUGCGCUUGGGGCUUGGCUUCCAACAAACCUCCCCACUUAAAACUCCUGUACCCUGAGAGAGUGAGCAAGUGGCCCAACGUCACACAGCCAGGUUUCAUUCUGCCCAGACACCUGCAGGGACAAACCCAGCAGAGACCGGGGAGCAGAGCCAGUGUUUGGACCCGGGGCCUCGGAAGAGGGGUGAGGCUCAGCUCGAGGCCAGGCGAGGGGAGAUGAACUCGGCAGCCUUCCAAGCAAACCCAUCUCUGGCAGUAGGUAGCAGAUUUAGAGAGUUGAGCUGUGGGCAGCGUUUGAAUAGAAGCAAGUUGACAGAUGACACCCAGCAUCACAGAACUUCAGAGCUGGGAGGAUCUUGGAGAUUAUCCAAACCAACCACUUUCCGAUUUUACCAAUGGGCACACUGAGGCCCAGAGUGGGGAAGAGACCCAGCUGGCAUCUGCUGCUGUCUAGUGGCAGAACCUAGAUCAGAACCCAGGCACCUUGCCGCCCAUUUGGGUGCUCAUUGCCCCACACUGAUUCUUCCAUGGAAUUAUCUGUAUGAUCGGAAACAGAAUGGGGGUGGAGCAAGAUAACUACGGCAAGGCAGGAGACACUGAAAUCAAACUGCCUGGGUUUCAAGGGAGACCCUGGACAAGCGCUGACUUCUCCCUGAGCCUCAAUGUCCUUAUUAAAUAGGAUAAUAACAGUACCUGCCCUAAGUUUGUCUUAAGGACUAAAGGAGAUGGUAUAGGAAAAGUACCUGGACUAAGCCUGGUACAUAUUAGUACUUAACUGAUGUUGGUAAGGAUGCUGAUAGCAGUGAUAAUGCUGGAGGUCGCAUUGGGUUGAACGGUGGCCCCCAAAAGAUAAGUCCACAUCCUCAUCCCUGGAACCUGUGGAUGUGACCUUAUCUGGAGAAAGGGUCCUUUGAGAUGUCAAGAAUACUGAAAUCCGAUCAUCCCAGAUUACCCAGGUGGGGUCUCCAUGUCAUCAAAAGUGUCCUUAGAGGAG
Molecule: long non-coding RNA, 1250 nt
Organism: Ovis aries (sheep)
Lineage: Eukaryota; Metazoa; Chordata; Mammalia; Artiodactyla; Bovidae
Source: Ensembl